RNAcentral lists this ribosomal RNA (296 nucleotides) under uncultured Coxiella sp. RNAcentral's name for it is "partial 16S ribosomal RNA". It matches the Rfam family "Bacterial small subunit ribosomal RNA", at positions 503 to 797 of the family's 1533-position model. Lineage: Bacteria; Pseudomonadati; Pseudomonadota; Gammaproteobacteria; Legionellales; Coxiellaceae. The record is from RNAcentral.
UAGUGCCAGCAGCCGCGGUAAUACAGAGAGUGCAAGCGUUAAUCGGAAUUACUGGGCGUAAAGCGCGCGUAGGUGGAUGCUUAAGUCGGAUGUGAAAGCCCUAGGCUUAACCUAGGAAUUGCACCCGAUACUGGGUGUCUAGAGUGUGGUAGAGGGAAGCGGAAUUUCCGGUGUAGCGGUGAAAUGCGUAGGUAUCGGAAAGAACACCAGUGGCGAAGGCGGCUUCCUGGAUCAAUACUGACACUGAGGUGCGAAAGCGUGGGGAGCAAACAGGAUUAGAUACCCGGGUAGUCCCA